CGGCCGCGUCCAGAUCAAGGUGUACCGAGGCCCCGACCACGGCCACCACGGCCACGCCCCCCACGGCUACUGGGUCAAGCAGCCCGCCGACGACGCGCCGCACCACCGCCGCCGGUAGAGAGCUCCCUGCCGGUGACUCCAGAGGCAUCACGAGCGACGCGUGCACCAGCAGACUGCUUCCGAGAGUCGUUUCCGUCACUCCGCCUCGCGCGCACUCAUGGGCCGUCCCGUAUAAGGUGCGAGAGAAACAGAGCGACGAACAAGACCCUCGGAAUAAUCGUACUGGACGACCAGGACGGCGAAAGCAUCGCGCCGUCGCGCCGUGGUACUUCCCUGUCCCACGUUCCGCGGGACUAGCCGCCAGGCUGGUAGCAAGACUGACAGAACCGUAAUGUAAUUGUAAAUAAAUUUAUUUUGUACAUAUGGUUGUUGCUUUUAUCGACGGGAAGAUCUCACUCGCUCAGACAUCCACGAAUAUGAGUGUGUAGUAGUGUUCUUGUGAACUUUUGUCUGUGGCGUAUUACAAUAAAUGGAUACCUUAUU
This is a long non-coding RNA of Thrips palmi, 543 nucleotides long. RefSeq lists it as uncharacterized. The transcript is spliced from 2 exons. The record is from RefSeq and is a predicted model, not a curated record. Lineage: Eukaryota; Metazoa; Arthropoda; Insecta; Thysanoptera; Thripidae.